UCAAUUAUCACUGUCGUCCAUGCAUUUCAGACAUCUCAUCUGCAGAAUCUGGAAAAACAUCUGAUCUGGCAAUGUCAGGAAUAGAGGAAAUAGAACCAGGACCAUCAAGGAGUAAGAUUACUCGCCCCAGACCACCAGACAGCAAAAAGGCUAAAGGAUCAAAAUACUCGGCAUCAUUCUUGGAUCCUUUGGAAAUAAGUAUUGACACAUCAGAAGAAUCAGAGGACCUGGAGGAAAGUGACGAUGAGUCAUAUCAACCAAGCUUCAACAUAUCAAUUGG
Saccostrea echinata is the source of this 280-nucleotide long non-coding RNA. RefSeq lists it as uncharacterized. NCBI's taxonomy places the organism in Eukaryota, Metazoa, Mollusca, Bivalvia, Ostreida, Ostreidae. The record is from RefSeq and is a predicted model, not a curated record. The transcript is spliced from 4 exons.